ACCUGGCUGGCUCAGUCGGUGGAGCAUGUGACUCUUGAUCUUGCUUGGGGUUGUGAGUUCAAACCCCAUGUUGGGUA
RNAcentral lists this transfer RNA (77 nucleotides) under Felis catus (domestic cat). It matches the Rfam family "tRNA". Rfam says of the family: Transfer RNA (tRNA) molecules are approximately 80 nucleotides in length. Their secondary structure includes four short double-helical elements and three loops (D, anti-codon, and T loops). Further hydrogen bonds mediate the characteristic L-shaped molecular structure. tRNAs have two regions of fundamental functional importance: the anti-codon, which is responsible for specific mRNA codon recognition, and the 3' end, to which the tRNAs corresponding amino acid is attached (by aminoacyl-tRNA synthetases). tRNAs cope with the degeneracy of the genetic code in two manners: having more than one tRNA (with a specific anti-codon) for a particular amino acid; and 'wobble' base-pairing, i.e. permitting non-standard base-pairing at the 3rd anti-codon position. Lineage: Eukaryota; Metazoa; Chordata; Mammalia; Carnivora; Felidae. The record is from Rfam by way of RNAcentral.